Molecule: microRNA precursor, 86 nt
Filed under: Mustela putorius furo (domestic ferret)
Lineage: Eukaryota; Metazoa; Chordata; Mammalia; Carnivora; Mustelidae
Description: miRNA (ENSMPUG00000022666.1)
Source: RNAcentral
UGCGUGUGUGUGCGUGUGUGUGUGUGUGUGUGUUUACAAACACAUGCAUACACACACACACACACACACACACACACACACACAUA